GGGGUAAAGUGUACCGCCAACGAUUCGUCCGAGUGGAUACCAUGAAUCGGAAUCGAACCAAUUCCAAAACUCGGAGAAACCGUGUUCUGUGAGGUAGAGAGUGGUGCGGUAGUUGAAAUAUGGAUCGAAUUCAUGGAUCAUGGAUUCAUAGCGAAGGACGCUGAAGAGACGAGUGAUGAAUGCGAGGAUAUAGAUUAAACCUAGGGUUGUGAUUCGGAGAAGAAGCUCUUGUUGUUUGGUUUUGAGUUUUAGGGUUUUGGGAAGGGAAUUGAGGAGAUCUUGGGUUACUGAUGGUGGGUUUUGGGAUUUUCAUGGAAAAUGGGAAUUUUCUUGGGAAAAUGUGGAUGAGAAAAUGA
Molecule: long non-coding RNA, 356 nt
Filed under: Medicago truncatula (barrel medic)
Lineage: Eukaryota; Viridiplantae; Streptophyta; Magnoliopsida; Fabales; Fabaceae
Description: lncRNA gene37237
Source: RNAcentral